CUUUUUAUGAGAGUUUGAUCCUGGCUCAGGAUGAACGCUGGCGGCGUGCUUAACACAUGCAAGUCGAACGAAGCAUUUGCGACAGAUUUCUUCGGAUUGAAGUUGC
Molecule: ribosomal RNA, 106 nt
Filed under: [Lactobacillus] rogosae
Lineage: Bacteria; Bacillati; Bacillota; Clostridia; Lachnospirales; Lachnospiraceae
Description: Lactobacillus rogosae 16S rRNA. Bacterial SSU
Rfam family: Bacterial small subunit ribosomal RNA
Source: RNAcentral